RNAcentral lists this small nucleolar RNA (140 nucleotides) under Trifolium pratense (red clover). Its description in RNAcentral is "snoRNA snoR134". It matches the Rfam family "small nucleolar RNA snoR134". The record is from RNAcentral. Lineage: Eukaryota; Viridiplantae; Streptophyta; Magnoliopsida; Fabales; Fabaceae.
AAGCAUGUUGCAACCCCGGGCUUUUCUGAAUAAUAAAUGACGUAAAAGCCCCAUUGCACAUGCAAAAUCAAUGCUAUUCGUGUUGCAGUUCAUCUCACUAAAUCCCACGAUUGAUCUGUGUCAAAGUAAUGGCAACAUUG